RNAcentral lists this ribosomal RNA (458 nucleotides) under uncultured bacterium. RNAcentral's name for it is "partial 16S ribosomal RNA". It matches the Rfam family "Bacterial small subunit ribosomal RNA", at positions 338 to 795 of the family's 1533-position model. The record is from RNAcentral.
CCUACGGGUGGCAGCAGUGGGGAAUCUUGGUCAAUGGCCGUAAGGCUGAACCAGCCAAGUAGCGUGAGUGAAGACUGCCCUAUGGGUUGUAAACCCCUUUUAUGCGGGGAUAAAGGUGUCCACGUGUGGAUGUUUGCAUGUACCGCAUGAAUAAGGACCGGCUAAUUUCGUUCCAGCAGCCGCGGUAAUACGGAAGGUCCGUGCGUUAUCCGGAUUUAUUGGGUUUAAAGGGAGCGUAGGCCGGUCUUUAAGCGUGCCGUGAUAUUUUGGCUCAACCAUUGGAGUGCGGCGCGAACUGGAGACCUUGAGUGCGCGGAAGGCAGGCGGAAUUCGUGGUGUAGCGGUGAAAUGCGUAGAUAUCACGAAGAACCCCGAUUGCGAAGGCAGCCUGCCGCAGCGUUACUGACGCUGAAGCUCGAAAGCGCGGGUAUCGAACAGGAUUAGAUACCCCUGUAGUC